CAUGAUGCUGCUCAGUAUUUUAAUACUGGUCUUACUGUCUUAGUUUGCGUCUUGUCUUUUGAACUGGAUUUGCCGACUUGAACUGCGUUGUUGAAGGUUUACAAAACCCGAGCCUGCAAAUCCAGUCAAAAGUUAAACCGGGCUGAGAUUUACGAAUCUGAUAUAUAUUGGGAGGUAUUAUG
Molecule: microRNA precursor, 182 nt
Filed under: Gossypium hirsutum (cotton)
Lineage: Eukaryota; Viridiplantae; Streptophyta; Magnoliopsida; Malvales; Malvaceae
Description: miR2949b stem-loop (ghr-MIR2949b, ghr-MIR2949c)
Source: miRBase by way of RNAcentral